Penicillium coprophilum is the source of this 72-nucleotide transfer RNA. It matches the Rfam family "tRNA". From Rfam's summary of the family: Transfer RNA (tRNA) molecules are approximately 80 nucleotides in length. Their secondary structure includes four short double-helical elements and three loops (D, anti-codon, and T loops). NCBI's taxonomy places the organism in Eukaryota, Fungi, Ascomycota, Eurotiomycetes, Eurotiales, Aspergillaceae. The record is from Rfam.
GCAGCGGUAAUUCAGUGGUAGAAUGCAAGAUUGCAAAUCUUGUUGUCCCGCGUUCGAUCCGCGGUCGCUGCU